CGGGUGUUGGUUGGGAGUAUCCGCAAGGACUCCGGGGCUUAUCUAUAGGCCCUAAGACAGCCAGCACCCGUU
This 72-nucleotide non-coding RNA is filed under the name unclassified sequences. The record is from RNAcentral.